This 339-nucleotide ribosomal RNA is filed under the name Bacillus cereus. Its description in RNAcentral is "bacterial SSU rRNA". It matches the Rfam family "Bacterial small subunit ribosomal RNA", at positions 1028 to 1364 of the family's 1533-position model. Lineage: Bacteria; Bacillati; Bacillota; Bacilli; Caryophanales; Bacillaceae. The record is from RNAcentral.
AGAGUGACAGGUUGGUGCAUGGUUGUCGUCAGCUCGUGUCCGUGAGAUGUUGGGUUAAAGUCCCGCAACGAGCGCAACCCUUGAUCUUAGUUGCCAUCAUUUAGUUGGGCACUCUAAGGUGACUGCCGGUGACAAACCGGAGGAAGGUGGGGAUGACGUCAAAUCAUCAUGCCCCUUAUGACCUGGGCUACACACGUGCUCCCCCUCCCCCGUACAAAGAGCUGCAAGACCGCGAGGUGGAGCUAAUCUCAUAAAACCGUUCUCAGUUCGGAUUGUAGGCUGCAACUCGCCUACAUGAAGCUGGAAUCGCUAGUAAUCGCGGAUCAGCAUGAAACGGUG